ACUCCUACGGGAGGCAGCAGUGGGGAAUAUUGCACAAUGGGCGCAAGCCUGAUGCAGCAACGCCGUGUGAGUGAAGAAGGUUUUCGGAUCGUAAAACUCUGUCCUAAGGGAAGAAACAAAUGACGGUACCUUAGGAGGAAGCCCCGGCUAACUACGUGCCAGCAGCCGCGGUAAUACGUAGGGGCAAGCGUUAUCCGGAAUCACUGGGCGUAAAGGGUGCGUAGGCGGCUUAGCAAGCCAGGGGUGAAAGGCAUUGGCUCAACCAAUGUAAGCCUUUGGAACUGUUAAGCUUGAGUGCAGGAGAGGUAAGUGGAAUUCCUAGUGUAGAGGUGAAAUUCGUAGAUAUUAGGAGGAACACCAGUGGCGAAGGCGACUUACUGGACUGUAACUGACGCUGAUGCACGAAAGCGUGGGUAGCGAACAGGAUUAGAUACCCUGGUAGACUGUCA
Molecule: ribosomal RNA, 449 nt
Filed under: uncultured bacterium
Lineage: Bacteria
Description: bacterial SSU rRNA
Rfam family: Bacterial small subunit ribosomal RNA
Source: RNAcentral